CCGGAUUCAUUGGGUUUAAAGGGUGCGUAGGCUGUUUUGUAAGUCAGCGGUGAAAGACCGGGGCCCAACUCCGGAAGUGCCGUUGAUACUGCAUUGCUAGAGUUCCCCUGCCGUGGGAGGAAUGAGUGGUGUAGCGGUGAAAUGCAUAGAUAUCACUCAGAACACCGAUUGCGAAGGCAUCUCACGAAGAGGCAACUGACGCUGAGGCACGAAGGCGUGGGGAUCAAACAGGAUUAGAUACCCUGGUAGUCCACGCUGUAAACGAUGAUGACUAGCUGCCGGCGAUACACUGUCGGUGGCCCAGCGAAAGCGAUAAGUCAUCCACCUGGGGAGUACGACCGCAAGGUUGAAACUCAAAGGAAUUGACGGGGGCCCGCACAAGCGGAGGAACAUGUGGUUUAAUUCGAUGAUACGCGAGGAACCUUACC
RNAcentral lists this ribosomal RNA (428 nucleotides) under uncultured Bacteroidota bacterium. Its description in RNAcentral is "bacterial SSU rRNA". It matches the Rfam family "Bacterial small subunit ribosomal RNA", at positions 545 to 975 of the family's 1533-position model. The record is from RNAcentral. Lineage: Bacteria; Pseudomonadati; Bacteroidota.